This 253-nucleotide ribosomal RNA is filed under the name uncultured bacterium. RNAcentral's name for it is "partial 16S ribosomal RNA". It matches the Rfam family "Bacterial small subunit ribosomal RNA", at positions 524 to 776 of the family's 1533-position model. The record is from RNAcentral.
UACGGGGGGGGCAAGCGUUGUUCGGAAUUACUGGGCGUAAAGGGCUCGUAGGCGGCCAACUAAGUCAGACGUGAAAUCCCUCGGCUUAACCGGGGAACUGCGUCUGAUACUGGCGAGCUUGAGUGCAGGAGAGGAACGCGGAAUUCCAGGUGUAGCGGUGAAAUGCGUAGAUAUCUGGAGGAACACCGGUGGCGAAGGCGGCGUUCUGGACUGCAACUGACACUGAGAAACGAAAGCCAGGGUAGCAAACGGG